RNAcentral lists this long non-coding RNA (1057 nucleotides) under Homo sapiens (human). RNAcentral's name for it is "non-protein coding lnc-DEGS2-2:4". The record is from RNAcentral. Lineage: Eukaryota; Metazoa; Chordata; Mammalia; Primates; Hominidae.
GCUUCCCCGCCUCCCUCGCCUCGGUGCGCCCGCGCCCGCGCUCGCUCGGCCGCUGCUCGUCUCGGCUCCCCGCCUCGCCUCGCCUCGCCGCAACCGCCCGCCCUGGCCGCGCCUCCUCCCGCCCUCCGGGCCGGCGCUCCGCUUCCCCCUUCCUCCUGCGCCUCCGCCUCCUUCCACACAAAUACCAACUCCUCAACCCGAGCCCAGAUCUCGCCGCCGCCGCCACACUCUGCUCGGGCCCGGCCUCGCGAGACUUCCGCGCUGGCCUCAGCCCGCCCCGCCUCGCUGCCACUCGCCCGUUCGCCCUCUCGAUUCUCCUCUCGGCCAAUCGAUCUGUCCGCUGGCCUCCGCGGCCCCGCCCACUCGCCGGGCUCCUCCCGGAUUGGGGCCGAUGGGACCGGGGGCGGGGCGGCUCGCACGCGCCCUGGCUGGCCCGCGGCGCGUGACGUCAGCGCGCCGCCGCCGCCGCCACCGCCUCCCGCUUCCCGGUGUCGCGCGGCUGCCGCCCUUCGCGGUGCAACAGCCACAAAACCCGCCGCCUCGGGCCGGGGCCGCACUCGGGAACGGGGCGUCGCCGCUACAGCCGCUGCCUUGGGAGCCGAUGCAAAGCUUCCUAGAUGGAGAAUAGAACUGUUCCACUUCUGGCGUCUACCAGAAGUGGUAGAAGUGGCUUCUACCCAUGGCCUCCAAUAUAGAGUAGAAAUCUUCUGAUGCCUUGAGGAGAGGGAAAGAAUCUACCUUAGCUUGAGAAGUGAAUCCUGAUUGGUUGAACAACCAAGGCAAUCUUACUCCCUUCGGCCAGUGGUGGAUCUGCAGAGUUGGGGGAAUGCGACCCAGUUCUGGCCAGUGAAAUGUAAAGGGAAAUGUGUUACUAGAGAAGCUUCUCUUCCCUAAUAAAAAGAUAGAACUUCAGAAUACAGCCCUCCUUUUGCCUGCCUGAAAACCUGUGUGAUGGCCAGGGCGGCGGCCACCACCUAAAGAAAAGGCUAAGAGAAUUACAGUCAUUGGUCAGGCACUAUCAAUCAUGAACUCACUACCACUGGGCUGCACAUGUGAG